Gasterosteus aculeatus aculeatus (three-spined stickleback) is the source of this 2591-nucleotide long non-coding RNA. NCBI's taxonomy places the organism in Eukaryota, Metazoa, Chordata, Actinopteri, Perciformes, Gasterosteidae. The record is from Ensembl.
UGGCCAGGGCGUGAUUAACGGGUAUUCUAAAACUUGAUCAAAUUUGACUUGCUGCAGCCUUAACAAUACAUUACAGGUCUUUAAGCUGACGCUUUUAUCCAAAGCGACUUACAUUGCAUUUUUAACCCAUGGCUUUUUACAUUUUAGCCCGGGGAGCAAUUAGCAGUUAGGUGUCUUGCUCAGAGACACCUCGACAUGGAGCAGCCGGGGCACGAACUACCAACCUUGCAGUUCCCGCCGCACCCGCUCUACCCAUGCGCCACUGUGGCCCGUUAACAGUUGGUUUAUUUAUGAAUAGGUGACUCAAUGUUGGUCCAAAUGCCUCUUCUAGUCCACUGUUGCUCUUUUAUUUUUCCCAGUAGGUGAAAGGAGGACCGAGUUUUGAAGCGGAUCGGCCCAAAGCAAAGGCAACCAGUCUGUUGUUGUUGUUGCAGCAAGGUAUUUAUAUUAUAUAUCCUCAAUAUUUCAGUGUAAUCAAAGGUUUGUCGGCUGGCCUUCGCCUAAAGAGGGGCAACAUUGCAAUAAUGAAUGCUACUUAUUAGAAACUUGGUGUGUGUAUUUCAAUUAUUGCCAACACUCCCAUGAAAAAAAAGCUGAGCGCCACAAAAUGAAGAAAAUAUUUUCGGCUGUAGAUUAAUGCACACUGUGUGCACAGGUCAGUGCAUUAACUUAAAAUAAACAGUGCCAUUGUUGUUUGUAAUGAAGAAAUAACUUGCAGAGGAGACAGAGGAUGAGGUUAUGUUGGAAGAUAUGUGUUACUAGGAUCAGUUUAUUGAUAGUUUGGAUCUUUUGGGAAUUUGUUGACAACAAAAUCAUUUUAUACUGUUGAACUUAUCCUUUACAGGAUAACUAAGCUCACUAUUUACUUGCUGCAUCAGCUCAUCUUUCUUUUAAGUCACAUUUCAUAAGCAUCCACGGAGCACACUUAGUUCAUUAAGGGAUUUACUCCAGAGUUCCUCCGACGGCUGUUUCACCAGAUCAAAUCAUUUGCGGUGACACAUUAAAGAACAGUCCUACUUCCUUACUAAUCACAUUAAAUACAUUGCUGCUUGUCAACUAGCCAUUUAGCUGGUAAAUUAAUCAUAAAUAUGUACUUCUUACGACCUAAUUGUAGACAUGUUGUGGAGCAGGGGUCCCUACUGACAAAUACAUUCAUCUUAGUUCUAACCUAGGAGAUAAACAACAUCUUCCAAAUGAAAGAAGGGAUUAAUUUGCGGCGCUGGUGGGUGGACAGCUGAUAUGAGGAUUAUCAGCAUGACGUGUGAUAGUAAUAUGGGGAAAGAUUGUUGAACAUGUUUUAACAGUUUGCAGGGAACUAAUUCAUCUCACCCAUGGCGCCACCAUGGCAAAUGUGAUGAACUCAAAUUAAGCAAAUAUAAUGAGGGGAAUUAAAUCCAGCUUUACAUAAUGACCAAUUUAUAGAGCUGUAGGAUUAUGAGAAUUGGUCGUUUUUACAAGAGGAAAAAAACCCCACUUCCAAGCGGGUACAUUCAACUCUGAGUUUGUCCAAGUUUACCUCUGACUCUGAAAGCCCAUACUUUUCUUAGAGAGAAAAACAAGCGGCAGAAGUCAUUAAAUUCUGUUUUUGUUUUUUCAAAUACCACAUAAUGAGACAUCGUAUUUAAUGUUUGUCAAGACUUGACGCUAAAAACCGAUCCAAAAUAAUGGGUUUCUUGUCUCCGUACAGUAUCACAGUUUAAGUACUGGAAGGUGAACGGGUGACAACAUCUCCCGCCACACUGCAAUGUUUAUCCUUCCUCUCCUGCAAUUUGUUUGCAUUCUCUGGCUGCCGUUGACAAUCAUUUUUCUUUGGUUGCCAAGCAAUGGGGCGCAGAGCGCUGUGAAAGACCAUACCUCACUCAUUAAAAUUCUAGACUCUAGCCACACGUAGAGUUCUGAGCUGUGUGUGUGUGUGUGUGUGUGUGUGUGUGUGUGUGUGUGUGUCGUGCAUUAAGUUUCCUUUCUACAAAGCCCGUUAACGAUUGGAGUCAUACUGCAGUACCACGAUGUCAAUAUGACACCGAAUGUGUCUUCCCUGUACAUUUCGCUGGCUGAUGAUGCUGUAUUGAAGUAACUCGUGGCUCACGCGCUUUAUUGAUCUAUGACUUAUGCUGGGAUAGUGUUUGUUGAUAUUUAAAUUAGUCAAAGAAGUUAAAGUGCGUGACAUUUGACACGAUUGAUGCAUUGCUAAUACAUGUUAACUGCACUUUAUAUACGUUUGUUUCGGAUAUUUUUAAUCAAAGUUAACGCAAGAGCCCAUUUGCGUUAACUUUUUCUUCAAACGGAUUCUCAGGUCAAUAGUUGGAGCACAAGGAGGUGGCAUGCAACCUUGAGAAGUAUGGUAGCUUCUAACGAAAGGGAUCCAUUCUCCUCAGUGUCACUCCUCACAAGGCUGACUAAAAUGUGAUUUUCUUGACACAGCAUGAGUAAGAGUUGUUGUUGCUGUUGCUGUGUUGAUGCCCGUCAGAGCUCUACGAAAUCAAUUUAACUUUGUUUUGCAGAUGGUGUUUUGAGAUUUAAUUUAACUGAAUUAGUUUUUUGUCUAAUCUGCAAACCGGACCAGGAAAGUUCCCCCUGGUUCUGUCCCUCGC